Molecule: ribosomal RNA, 545 nt
Filed under: uncultured bacterium
Lineage: Bacteria
Description: bacterial SSU rRNA
Rfam family: Bacterial small subunit ribosomal RNA
Source: RNAcentral
AAUAGAUACCCUGGUAGUCCAUGCCGUAAACGUUGGGCACUAGGUGUGGGGGACAUUCCACGUUUUCCGCGCCGUAGCUAACGCAUUAAGUGCCCCGCCUGGGGAGUACGGCCGCAAGGCUAAAACUCAAAGGAAUUGACGGGGGCCCGCACAAGCGGCGGAGCAUGCGGAUUAAUUCGAUGCAACGCGAAGAACCUUACCAAGGCUUGACAUGGACCGGAUCGCCGCAGAAAUGUGGUUUCUCCUUUUGGGGCCGGUUCACAGGUGGUGCAUGGUUGUCGUCAGCUCGUGUCGUGAGAUGUUGGGUUAAGUCCCGCAACGAGCGCAACCCUCGUUCCAUGUUGCCAGCGCGUAAUGGCGGGGACUCAUGGGAGACUGCCGGGGUCAACUCGGAGGAAGGUGGGGACGACGUCAAAUCAUCAUGCCCCUUAUGUCUUGGGCUUCACGCAUGCUACAAUGGCCGGUACAAAGGGUUGCGAUACUGUGAGGUGGAGCUAAUCCCAAAAGCCGGUCUCAGUUCGGAUUGGGGUCUGCAACUCGACCCC